AAGUCGUAACAAGGUUUCCGUAGGUGAACCUGCGGAAGGAUCAUUAACACGUAUCCAACGUUAAACCCCCCGUGAACUUUUAUUGCGAACCACGCCUUUGUUAGAAAGUAGCAAUCCCUGGUAAAUCAUCGCCAAACAGUUUUGAUUCAGGGAUCUCUGCGAAGAGAGCGGUUGUAGCGCGAGGUAAGUGGCCUGGCAUUCCUCUGCUUGUUAGUGUCUGACAGUGUCACUAGCUCUGUACGAAUGGCGCAGUCACGAUCGCUAGAGGCCGACACGGCCGGCGACCGGGUCACCGGGCAUAGACCCCCCUAUCACCUUUGCAUGAAAACGGGCCUGCGCUUAAUUGUGCGGCCACCAAACUCGAACAACUGUUAACAAUGGAUAUCUUGGUUCUC
Molecule: unclassified non-coding RNA, 395 nt
Filed under: fungal sp.
Lineage: Eukaryota; Fungi
Description: partial internal transcribed spacer region
Rfam family: Eukaryotic small subunit ribosomal RNA (bases 1-46)
Source: RNAcentral